UAGGGAAUCUUCCGCAAUGGACGAAAGUCUGACGGAGCAACGCCGCGUGAGCGAAGAAGGUCUUCGGAUCGUAAAGCUCUGUUGUUAGGGAAGAACAAGUAUCGGAGGAAAUGCCGGUACCUUGACGGUACCUGACGAGAAAGCCACGGCUAACUACGUG
This 160-nucleotide ribosomal RNA is filed under the name Bacillus sp. Band 12. Its description in RNAcentral is "partial 16S ribosomal RNA". It matches the Rfam family "Bacterial small subunit ribosomal RNA", at positions 355 to 507 of the family's 1533-position model. RNAcentral also lists the same sequence under 2 other names. The record is from RNAcentral. Lineage: Bacteria; Bacillati; Bacillota; Bacilli; Caryophanales; Bacillaceae.